RNAcentral lists this ribosomal RNA (1129 nucleotides) under uncultured bacterium. RNAcentral describes it as "bacterial SSU rRNA". It matches the Rfam family "Bacterial small subunit ribosomal RNA", at positions 60 to 1214 of the family's 1533-position model. The record is from RNAcentral.
AGUCGAACGGAGAUAUUGAAAGUUUACUGGAAAUAUCUUAGUGGCGGAGGGGGCUAACACGUGAGCAACCUGCCUUUGAGAGAGGAAUAAUUUCCGGAAACGGAUUGUAAUACCUCAUGACAUAUAUUUGCCGCAUGACAGAUGUAUCAAAGGUUUUAUCACUCAAAGAUGGGCUCGCGUCUGAUUAGAUAGUUGGUGAGGUAACGGCUCACCAAGUCGACGAUCAGUAGCCGGACUGAGAGGUUGAACGGCCACAUUGGGACUGAGACACGGCCCAGACUCCUACGGGAGGCAGCAGUGGGGAAUAUUGCACAAUGGGGGAAACCCUGAUGCAGCGAUGCCGCGUGGAGGAAGAAGGUUUUCGGAUUGUAAACUCCUGUCGACAGGAAAGAAAAAGGACUGUACCUGUCAAGAAAGCUCCGGCUAACUACGUGCCAGCAGCCGCGGUAAUACGUAGGGAGCGAGCGUUGUCCGGAAUUACUGGGUGUAAAGGGAGCGUAGGCGGGACUGCAAGUCAGAUGUGAAAUUUACGGGCUUAACCUGUGAACUGCAUUUGAAACUGUAGUUCUUGAGUGAAGUAGAGGCAAGCGGAAUUCCUGGUGUAGCGGUGAAAUGCGUAGAUAUCAGGAGGAACACCGGUGGCGAAGGCGGCUUGCUGGGCUUUAACUGACGCUGAGGCUCGAAAGCGUGGGUAGCAAACAGGAUUAGAUACCCUGGUAGUCCACGCUGUAAACGAUGAUUACUAGGUGUGGGGGGACUGACCCCUUCCGUGCCGCAGUUAACACAAUAAGUAAUCCACCUGGGGAGUACGGCCGCAAGGUUGAAACUCAAAGGAAUUGACGGGGGCCCGCACAAGCAGUGGAGUAUGUGGUUUAAUUCGAAGCAACGCGAAGAACCUUACCGGGUCUUGACAUCGAGUGCAUAGCUAAGAGAUUAGUGAAAUCCCUUCGGGGACACUUAGACAGUGGUGCAUGGUUGUCGUCAGCUCGUGUCGUGAGAUGUUGGGUUAAGUCCCGCAACGAGCGCAACCCUUACCUUUAGUUGCUACGCAGAGCACUCUAAAGGGACUGCGUUGACAAACGGAGGAAGGUGGGGAUGACGUCAAUCAUCAUGCCCUUAUGACCCGGGC